UGUGAUGCCAGCCACAGGAGGUGGGGCAGGGCUGCAGGGCCGUAGACUGGUGGACCUUGGUUUUGCCUGUGUUGUUUGCUUCUCAUAGAAUGCACAGGAAUUGAAGCUGGGCUGCUUGGUACAUCUACCCAGUGGGCAAAGACCUUGCAAGGAAGCAGCCCAGAGUGUCUGCUGUUCUCACAUUUAUUUGCAGAGCCCAAGCCCAGCCUCUCUUUGGGUCAUCAAACUCUGGGCAGCUUUCACAGUUGUGAUCCUAGGGGGACACUUGCUCAGAUGGUGGUGUGAUCCUGGGGGAGACUGGUCCUGUUUGCUGGUGUGAUCUUGGGGGAGGCUGUCUCUGUUUUCAGGUGUGAUCUUGGGGGAGAGUGGCCCUGUUUGUUGGUGUGAUCUUAGGGGGAGGCUGGCCCUGUUUGUUGGUGUGAUCUUAGGGGGAGGCUGGCCCUGUUUGUUGGUGUGAUCUUAGGGGGAGGCUAUCUCUUUUCAGGUGUGAUGCUGGGGGAGGCUGACUCUGUUGCUGGUGUGAUCCUAGAGGAGGCUAUCUCUGUUUUCAGGCGUGAUCCUAGGGGAGUCUAUCUCUGUUUGCCGGUGUGAUCCUAGGGGGAGGCUGGCUCUUACUGGUGUGAUCCAUGGGGAGGCUGGCCCUGUUUUCAGGUGUGAUCCUGGGGGAGGCUGGCUCUGUUGCUGGUGUGAUCCAGGGGGAGGCUGUCUCUGUUUUCAUGUGUGAUCCUGGGGGAGGCUGGCCCUGUUUGCUGGUGUGAUCCUUGGGGAGGCUGGCUGCAUUACCGGUGUAGUCCUGCAGGAAGACUGGCACCAUGAUAGGAGAAUGGAUUUCAAAUUGUGUUCCAGAGAUGCCUAUGGUCAUUGUCUCCAAGACUGUCAGGUGCUGUUCUGGUAAGUAGUCCGUGUGGAUCCAGGCUGUCUUGUCAUUGAAGACCUGCUUCGUGGCAAGGGUGACUGCUGACGUAGUUGGUGGAGCAAGAGUGCUCUCGCUAAAGGCCCCACUCCUCAUGCUUGGGGAACAGAGUUGCUGAUGUAACCAGUAAGCUGAGUCAUCCGUUUCUCUGUGUCUCCUGGGCUGGCGGGUUCAGCUCGGAGUCCAGGUCCUCACAGGAACUCCCAAUGCGUUUCUCAUUUGCACAGUACAUUUACGAUGAAGUCAUUUCUCUUGUAAUUGGAUAGAUCACCCCAAAUGCGGGUAGGAAGAACAAAAUGUAUUACCUGUCUUCUUUCUGAGUGCCCAAAAGAGUCUCUGUGGAAUGGUAAAUGAAGUUCUUCAAUUGAGAAUGGUCACUUGCAGUGAUCAGAUGGUGGCUUUUCCCAGUUUUGGACUCAGGCCCACCGGAAGCACCGCACCUCUUGCAGCCAUCUGAGCGGUCUGGAGGGGACUUUGGAGGUUCUUAGGCGUUUAGUGGACACACGAACAGCAGCAGGCACAGUUCCUGCAGGCCAAUGGAUCAUGGUUUUAGUGUCGCUGAUCUUCCUCUGCCUUUCCCUGGGAAUCUCAGAGUGCUUUGUAACUGCAAACCCCUCCUCUGUGCAAGUGUCCUGUGAAACAGACUGCACUUCUCCCCACUAAACCUGUGGAGAGAGAAACCAGUCAGUUGAAGUUGCUUUGUCCAACACUAUGAUCUCCUUCGGAAGGAAAUGUCCCGGAUCUGUUGAGCUGCUGGAACCAGUACAGAUAAACAUACUGCUGGGAAGGCUUAAAGUGCUUUAUACACCGGACCCCCUUAUCCACAGGGGACACAUUCCAUGACCCCCAGGGGGUGCCCGAAACCGUGGACAGUACCAAACCCUAUGUAUACCUCGUUUUUCCUGGACACACUUAGCCGUGAUAACGUUUAUGAAUUAGGUGCAGUAAAGAGGUUCACAACAAUAACAAUAAAAUAGAGCAAUUAUAGC
This is a long non-coding RNA of Ailuropoda melanoleuca (giant panda), 1902 nucleotides long. RefSeq lists it as uncharacterized. The record is from RefSeq and is a predicted model, not a curated record. The transcript is spliced from 2 exons. Lineage: Eukaryota; Metazoa; Chordata; Mammalia; Carnivora; Ursidae.